CUCAUAUCAAAUGUUUGGUUUAAACCAGGGAAGGAAACUGUACUAAAAUACUACACUAACGUUACUAUUACUGGACUUUAAACGUUUUUUAGUCGUCAAACACAGGUGUUAUUAUUAAUAUCAUUAAUGUGGACCGCGUGGUAUUCAGGAUGAGGUGAGGACUGAGAUGAAGAAGAAGAGCCUCCUCAUCCUCAUUUACCAACACCUGUUGGCGCAAGGGUACAUGGCUGCAGCAGUGGCCUUGGACCAGGAGACUAACGGAGGUGUGAGGAGGUUCGAGGUUUGUGAUAACAUCGAUCUGGAGAUGGUGCUGAUGGAGUACGAGAGUUAUCACUACGUCAAGUUCCAGAGGUAUCCCAAACUUAUCAGGAGAACAGCAGAACCAGGUGAAAACAGACGUGCAAGAAGUGUUGGAGUAAAGAGAAGUUCCUGUUCAGCUGUGAAGCCUCUUCCCAAAAUCAUCCCGUCCCCGAGGCCACAGUCCGGAAGCGGAUCCAAGAGACCAGCUGCCAGUUCACAGACAAAUGAGAUCGGCUCUUCUGUCCCUCCGGAGUCGUCAGAGUUUGGUCUCAACGUUUCCUCCAUCAGAAAUGGACCAGCUGGGGAGGCAGCCAUGAACAGAAAGGGCCAGAUGACUGACGGCAAAGGAGCUGGCAGUGACUCCGACCACAUGGAAAGGCUGCUGAAGCCCCUCAGUGGCUUUUCUGGAAUGAGCGGUGAGAUGAGACAACUGGCUGCAAUUAUCAGCAGGGACAUCUAUUUGCACAGCCCCAAUGUGCGGUGGGAGGACAUCAUCGGCCUGGAGGACGCAAAGCGAUUAGUCAAAGAGGCCGUCGUCUAUCCCAUUAAGUACCCCCAGCUGUUCACAGGCAUCCUGUCUCCGUGGAAGGGCUUGCUGCUUUAUGGCCCUCCAGGUACAGGUAAGACCCUGCUGGCCAAGGCCGUGGCUACAGAGUGUAAGACGACCUUCUUCAACAUCUCAGCCUCCAGCAUCGUCAGCAAAUGGAGAGGAGACUCUGAGAAACUGGUCAGGGUUCUAUUUGAGCUGGCCAGGUACCACGCCCCAUCCACCAUCUUCCUGGAUGAGCUGGAGUCGGUGAUGAGCCAGAGAGGAACCAGCAUGGGGGGAGAGCAUGAGGGGAGUCGCAGGAUGAAGACUGAGCUGCUGGUUCAGAUGGACGGACUGGCGAGAUCAGAGGACCUGGUGUUUGUACUGGCUGCCUCCAACCUGCCUUGGGAACUGGACCAUGCCAUGCUGAGGAGGUUAGAGAAGAGGAUUCUAGUCAGUCUUCCCACUUCGCCAGCUCGCCAGGCCAUGAUCUCUCACUGGCUGCCCCCUCUUAACUCCACAGGAGGGGUGGAGCUACGAACUGAGCUGGACUAUGAAACGCUGGCGAAGGAGAUGGAGGGUUACUCUGGCUCUGAUAUAACACUGGUGUGUAAGGAGGCUGCCAUGAGACCAGUCCGCAAGAUCUUUGAUGCUCUGGAGUCACAUCAGGACGGAGACGAUGACAUGCCUGCCAUCCAGCUGGAAACUGUGACCACAGCUGACUUCCUGGAAGUCCUCGCGCACACCAAACCCUCGGCACGAAACCUGAUGGACAGAUACACAGCCUGGGAGAGAGAGUACGAGUCUGUCUGACACAAAGAUGACCGGAGAGAAGGUGGAAUAUCAUCAACCACAAAAACAACAACAAUCACCACUGGAUGGAUAAGUAUUCUGUAGCUAAUGAGUUCUGACUAAAAUUCCCAAAAUUCCUGUGUUCUGAGCCCCGCCCACAUCAUCUCUGGCGUCCUGUGGGAAAACAGCAACGAGACACAGACUGAAGUUUUCUACCGGCUGAUUAAUAUUUGUAUCAAACAGUGAACAUUGAGUUAUGUUCUAAAACAACUGUCAGUAAACACUGUGUGAAGAUCUCAGGUUUGAGGCCUGUUCAUAGAAAUGAGCCUAUUCUUGCAAGUCUCUCUGCUAAAUGUUGAAAAUGUACUUAAUAAACGUGCUG
Molecule: RNA transcript, 2003 nt
Organism: Micropterus salmoides (largemouth bass)
Lineage: Eukaryota; Metazoa; Chordata; Actinopteri; Centrarchiformes; Centrarchidae
Gene: katnal2
Gene name: katanin p60 subunit A-like 2
Exons: 18
Source: RefSeq, a predicted model, not a curated record